This 494-nucleotide ribosomal RNA is filed under the name uncultured bacterium. RNAcentral describes it as "bacterial SSU rRNA". It matches the Rfam family "Bacterial small subunit ribosomal RNA", at positions 903 to 1397 of the family's 1533-position model. The record is from RNAcentral.
AAAUGAAUUGACGGGGGCCCGCACAAGCGGAGGAACAUGUGGUUUAAUUCGAUGAUACGCGAGGAACCUUACCUGGGCUUAAAUGCUUACUGUAUAAUGUGGAAACACAUUUUUCCUUCGGGACUGUUUGCAAGGUGCUGCAUGGUUGUCGUCAGCUCGUGCCGUGAGGUGUCGGGUUAAGUCCCAUAACGAGCGCAACCCUUAUCGUUAGUUGCCAUCGGGUAAUGCCGGGGACUCUAGCGAAACUGCCGGUGUAAACCGAGAGGAAGGUGGGGAUGACGUCAAAUCAGCACGGCCCUUAUGUCCAGGGCUACACACGUGUUACAAUGGCCGGUACAGAGGGCAGCUACUGGGUGACCAGAUGCAAAUCUCUAAAGCCGGUCUCAGUUCGGAUCGAAGUCUGCAACUCGACUUCGUGAAGGUGGAUUCGCUAGUAAUCGCGCAUCAGCUACGGCGCGGUGAAUACGUUCCCGGGCCUUGUACACACCGCCCGU